Molecule: long non-coding RNA, 536 nt
Organism: Bombina bombina (fire-bellied toad)
Lineage: Eukaryota; Metazoa; Chordata; Amphibia; Anura; Bombinatoridae
Exons: 3
Source: RefSeq, a predicted model, not a curated record
GGGUUUUCAAGAAAUAUUAAAGACAACAGUACGACCAAUGGCGUAUUUCAAAUACAGUUUGCCACCAACUGUAGACCAUGGAUACAGCUGAUUUGCUAGCAAGUGCCAUUACACCCCUUCAAAUCAUCAAUGAAUUUGCAGGAUAGUCCAGAAAUUAAAGAUAUCCUUAACAGAAGAAAUUUCAAUGGACAUGGUUGAGCCAAUCACAUAAGGCAUCUCUGUGCAUCCACCAAUCUUCAUCUACUGAGCCUAUUUCGAUUAGUGAUGUCGAGAACCUAAAAUUUUGCGUUGGCGAACGCGAACUUCGGCAAAUGUUCGCGAACCGGGCGAACCGCAAUUGACUUCAAUGGACAGGCGAAUUUUAAAACCCACAGGGACUCUUUCUGGCCGCAAUAGUGAUGGAAAAGUUGUUUCAAGGGGACUAACACCUGGACUGUGGCAUGCCGGAGGGGGAUCCUUUGGCAAAACUCCCAUGGAAAAUUACAUAGUUGAUGCAGAGUCUAGGUUUAAGCCAUAAAGGUCAUAAAUCACCUAAA